GUCCACGCUGUAAACGAUGACGACUGGGUGUUUCGGGUAUUGACUCCCGAGGUGCCGAAGCCAACGCGUUAAGUCGUCCGCCUGGGAAGUACGGCCGCAAGGCUAAAACUCAAAGGAAUUGACGGGGGCCCGCACAAGCGGUGGAGCAUGUGGUUUAAUUCGACGCAACGCGAAGAACCUUACCUGGACUCGAAAAUGCACGAAGUCGGCUGAAAAGGCUGAUGUGCUCGCAAGAGAGCGUGUAUCAGGUGCUGCAUGGCUGUCGU
Molecule: ribosomal RNA, 266 nt
Filed under: uncultured bacterium
Lineage: Bacteria
Description: partial 16S ribosomal RNA
Rfam family: Bacterial small subunit ribosomal RNA
Source: RNAcentral